Molecule: unclassified non-coding RNA, 222 nt
Filed under: Hevea brasiliensis (rubber tree)
Lineage: Eukaryota; Viridiplantae; Streptophyta; Magnoliopsida; Malpighiales; Euphorbiaceae
Source: RNAcentral
GGCAAAUUUCCCAAAUUAGAUUGGGAAUGCGUAAUUGUUGUUGUAUCACAAAGACUCUUGUAUUUAUCUAUUUCCUUUUCUGCUGAAAUUGCUGCAUAGAUUUCAAAGCUGCAGCAACAUGGGAAGUUGAUGGAACAGGAGCAACAACUGGAGUUCCUUUCUCCAUGUACCUUCUUUCUGGUAGAAUUCUUAACCAAUUUGAUUUCAGUUUUUUUAGUAUAU